GUCGCCCACACACUCUAGCGAAGGAUCAGCCCAGCAACGGCACCAGAAGGCAAUCAAAAGUCGACAUGCUUCGUGUAGUAGUCAUGAAAACUGUGGCUUUUAAUGUAAACACUACAUUCGAUUGUUUUUUUUUUUUUCAGCACAAACAUCCCACAUGAAAGAACAACCAUUCACUAAAAAGAGCAAGAAGGAGAAGCGGGAGCUGAGAGAGAUUAUCCUCCCAAAUCUACAGGUGAGUGAACGCUGUGCUUUUCGAUGCAGACUUGGAAGGUGUUAAAGAACGAUUCCCAGAAACGGAAGAUGAGCAACCUAUCUACACAGCCGCGUCGACACCCGUCAGCGUCGGGCCGCGGGCCCGUCACCGUGACGACCCCGGAGCAGAGGCGCUGGGAUGCUGGGCAGUCAGGCGAAGGGGUCGGUUUAGUUCAUUACACAUCGGAUAUGAGUUAAAUCAGUGAGAACAAUCCGGAUUGUAUUGGAGGGACCCUUGGAGUGCUUUUUAAAGAAAGGGAGGGGGGAUGAAAUGUUGUCAGCUACAAAGCACAGGAAAUAUCAUUCAAUUGUACUGUUGGUUUUAUGUAAUUGUGAUUGCUAUUGUUUUUCUUGAUUAUUAUUUUUUGUUCAACGUGUAAAGGUUUAUAGUAUUCUAAAGACACACACAGACCAGUGACGGUGGUCUUCAAAGCAUCACUGUUCCUGGUCUUGACAGCUGUCACCCAACCUUCCCUCUACCCCACCACAUGUUUUUUUUUUUCCUCUUUUUAUGCAGUUUUGUAUUUUCUAUUUUUUUGUGUAAUUUUUUUUUUUUUUUUUCAUUUUUCUCGUCUUCUACUUGAAGUAUUUAUCUGUUUAUUUCUUUAUACAAAGGCCAAAGGUCAUGCUAUUAGUGACAGGGUCAGUUGCAGGAGACGCCAUAGCCCAGCCUGUAGUCUAAAAACAGGAAGUCAACGAGAAAUGGUGCAUGAUGGGAGGUAGGAAGCCGAGGGUUGGGGGGAGGGUAAAGGUGGGGCGGGUCCAAGGAUAAAUAAAUUAAUUCAUAAAUUAAUGACAAUUAAAAGUAUACGCUUCUUGCACAAUAAUAUUAAUAGGUUCUUGUUAUUGUAACCUAGUGUUUCUAGCGCUAAUCCCAAACCCCCCUUUCAGAAGGUCGGCACUGAUAUGACACUUAGAGAAAUUUACUUGGCUAAGAGGCCUUGUAACACAGCUGGGGUGGUGCAGAGUGCUGUGGUCCCGCCUCCAAACGCACGCAGCCAAUGACAGCGCUGGCGUGCCUGAGUGACAGACCUGCCCCUUGGGAGGAUUUCCAUCCACGAGUUAAAAAUCGAACAAGCUGAUAUGCUGCAAUCCUGUGUGUGUCCUCAAAUAAUAAUAAUAAUAAUAAUGAUAAAAAAAAACACUUUUUUUCUUAGUUUUUGUCAUCCCUAAAACAUCAAAUAGCUGAACAGAACAGACAGGAUUACCGUAUAACCCCAUUCCCACGGACCAAAGUAAGCGAUACAUCAUAAACCCAGGACUUCAACUGAAUUUGCUACUGUAAGUCUUUACAUCUACCAUUGACACCGAAGCCAUUGUGACCGACUCCAUAGUUGUAAUUCUCAUUUUACCAUUAUCGAAAUCACCUAAUAUUUUCAGGCAAAAGGUGCCCAGGUUAGUCCCCUCAUUGAUACUCAUAAAAUAAAUAUACAUACAAUUAACAAGUAAACAUUAAAAAAAAAAAAAAAGACACAAAAGAAGACACAUUUCCUUUAUGUAAAAUAAAAUGUCUGUUUUGUUAAAAUAAGAAGACACUGCAAGUGGGGGGGGGGGGGGGGGGGGG
This is a long non-coding RNA of Brienomyrus brachyistius, 1816 nucleotides long. RefSeq lists it as uncharacterized. The record is from RefSeq and is a predicted model, not a curated record. The transcript has 2 exons. Lineage: Eukaryota; Metazoa; Chordata; Actinopteri; Osteoglossiformes; Mormyridae.